CAGAUGCUAAUACCGCAUAAAACCUAACACCGCAUGGUGUAGGGUUGAAAGAUGGUUUCGGCUAUCACUUUAGGAUGGACCCGCGGUGCAUUAGUUAGUUGGUGAGGUAAAGGCUCACCAAGACCGUGAUGCAUAGCCGACCUGAGAGGGUAAUCGGCCACACUGGGACUGAGACACGGCCCACACUCCUACGGGAGGCAGCAGUAGGGAAUCUUCCACAAUGGACGAAAGUCUGAUGGAGCAACGCCGCGUGAGUGAAGAAGGUUUUCGGAUCGUAAAACUCUGUUGUUGGAGAAGAAUGUAUCUGAUAGUAACUGAUCAGGUAGUGACGGUAUCCAACCAGAAAGCCACGGCUAACUACGUGCCACAGCCGCGGUAAUACGUAGGUGGCAAGCGUUGUCCGGAUUUAUUGGGCGUGAGCGAGCGCAUGCGGUUUCUUCGUCUGAUGUGAAAGCCUUCGGCUCACCGAAGAAUGCCUCGGAAACUGGGAAACUUGAGUGCAGAAGAGGACAGUGGAACUCCAUGUGUAGCGGUGAAAUGCGCAGAUAUAUGGAAGAACACCACUGGCGAAUGCGGCUGUCUGGUCUGUACUGACGCUGA
RNAcentral lists this ribosomal RNA (600 nucleotides) under Latilactobacillus sakei. RNAcentral describes it as "bacterial SSU rRNA". It matches the Rfam family "Bacterial small subunit ribosomal RNA", at positions 157 to 749 of the family's 1533-position model. Lineage: Bacteria; Bacillati; Bacillota; Bacilli; Lactobacillales; Lactobacillaceae. The record is from RNAcentral.